CUAACCUGGGUUUAAGAUGGGAAGGAUCUGCCAUGAAAAUGAAGAAAUUGUUAAUUGGAAAAAAUAUGGGAUUUUGGCAGAUCGACUUCAGGCAGCAAGGCGAGGUGCGGCGAGAGAACACGACGGAAGCGACACACCACCAGUGGGAAGCAGAGUAGAGCAGACGCACGACCAGCGCAGAGCAGUGCAGCGCAGACCAAGGAUGACGGACGAUGACGACGAUGGACGCUCACGCCGCCAAGGACGACGACGACGACGCCGCCGCCGUAGAUGGAGGACGACACCAACGAAUGGAUCGGAGGAGAAACGCAGUGACUUCACAGAGAACAAGC
Arachis ipaensis is the source of this 332-nucleotide non-coding RNA. NCBI's taxonomy places the organism in Eukaryota, Viridiplantae, Streptophyta, Magnoliopsida, Fabales, Fabaceae. The record is from RefSeq and is a predicted model, not a curated record.